Molecule: ribosomal RNA, 235 nt
Filed under: uncultured bacterium
Lineage: Bacteria
Description: partial 16S ribosomal RNA
Rfam family: Bacterial small subunit ribosomal RNA
Source: RNAcentral
UACGAAGGGGACUAGCGUUGUUCGGAAUCACUGGGCGUAAAGCGCACGUAGGCGGAUAUGUCAGUCAGGGGUGAAAUCCCGGGGCUCAACCUCGGAACUGCCUUUGAUACAGCAUAUCUUGAGUCCGAUAGAGGUGGGUGGAAUUCCUAGUGUAGAGGUGAAAUGCGCAGAUAUCGGGAAGAACACCCGUGGCGAAGGCGGCUCUCUGGGACGGUACUGACGCUGAGACGCGAAA